UGAGGUAUAGCUCAGUGGUAGCGUGCAGGCUUACUGUGAGUGAGGUCCUGGGUUCAAUCCCCAGUACUUCCA
RNAcentral lists this transfer RNA (72 nucleotides) under Camelus bactrianus (Bactrian camel). It matches the Rfam family "tRNA". From Rfam's summary of the family: Transfer RNA (tRNA) molecules are approximately 80 nucleotides in length. RNAcentral also lists the same sequence under 2 other names. The record is from Rfam by way of RNAcentral. Lineage: Eukaryota; Metazoa; Chordata; Mammalia; Artiodactyla; Camelidae.